GCCACGGUGGUCUAGCGGUUAGAACGCUGGCCUUGUAAUCCUGGGGUCUCGGGCUCGAUUCCCGGCGGUGCCC
Zootermopsis nevadensis is the source of this 73-nucleotide non-coding RNA. Lineage: Eukaryota; Metazoa; Arthropoda; Insecta; Blattodea; Termopsidae. The record is from Rfam.